AUUGAACGCUGGCGGCAGGCCUAACACAUGCAAGUCGAACGAGUGGCGGACGGGUGAGUAAUGUCUGGGAAACUGCCUGAUGGAGGGGGAUAACUACUGGAAACGGUAGCUAAUACCGCAUACCAUCGGAUGUGCCCAGAUGGGAAUAGCUAGUAGGUGGGGGAAAGGCUCACCUAGGCGACGAUCCCUAGCUGGUCUGAGAGGAUGACCAGCCACACUGGAACUGGGACACGGUCCAGACUCCUACGGGAGGCAGCAGUGGGGAAUAUUGCACAAUGGGCGCAAGCCUGAGGGAGCCAAGCCGCGUGUAUGAAGAAGUCCUUCUGGGUGUAAAGUACUUUCAGCGGGGAGGCGAUACCCGCAGAAGAAGCACCGACUAACUCCGUGCCAGCAGCCGCGGUAAUAC
RNAcentral lists this ribosomal RNA (406 nucleotides) under uncultured bacterium. RNAcentral's name for it is "partial 16S ribosomal RNA". It matches the Rfam family "Bacterial small subunit ribosomal RNA", at positions 29 to 526 of the family's 1533-position model. The record is from RNAcentral.